Molecule: ribosomal RNA, 443 nt
Filed under: uncultured bacterium
Lineage: Bacteria
Description: partial 16S ribosomal RNA
Rfam family: Bacterial small subunit ribosomal RNA
Source: RNAcentral
CCUACGGGAGGCAGCAGUGGGGAAUAUUGGGCAAUGGGCGCAAGCCUGACCCAGCAACGCCGCGUGAAGGAAGAAGGCUCUCGGGUUGUAAACUUCUUUUCUCAGGGACGCAGCAAGUGACGGUACCUGCGGACUAAGCCACGGCUAACUACGGGCCAGCAGCCGCGGUAAUACGUAGGUGGCAAGCGUUAUCCGGAUUUACUGGGUGUAACGGGCGUGUAGGCGGGAAAGCAAGUCAGAUGUGAAAACCAUGGGGUCAACCUGCGGCCUGCAUUUGAAACUGUUGUUCUUGAGUAAUGGAGAGGCAGACGGAAUGCGUGGUGUAGCGGUGAAAUGCGUAGAUAUUAGGCAGAACCCCAGUGGCGAAGGCAGUCUGCUGGACAGCAACUGACGCUGAGGCGCGAAAGCGUGGGGAGCGAACAGGAUUAGAUACCCCAGUAGUC